GAGGCGAGAGAUUACAGAUAUUGAAGACUUGUUCAUUGCUCAUAUCAGUGGAAUGGACACAGUCGCUCGUGGACUGAAAAAUGCAGCCAAGAUCUUGGAGAUCUGCACAAGUUGGAGGUUUUGGAGAAGCUUGAAGCAAAGCUAAAGGCUGAAGGGAAGGAAGAAGAGAAUGGAGAAGGAGAAGGUGAUGAUGAAGCUGAUGAAUCUGAGGGACACUAUCUUUCCCAAGAAACAGCACUCCCAUUUCCUCACACAUCCUCUCUGCACCUCCUCCACUGCCGCCAAACACUUGACUCCACACAAACACAUCAUCUAAAAGAAGCUCUGGUGCAUUCUCUCUUACGCAAGAGAUCAUCCCUUCCGUCACGUCCACGACCGAGGAUCCCAGCUGCUUCUUGAACUUGAAAUCACUCAAAGGUUGAACUUAAAAAAGAAAAAAAAAUU
Raphanus sativus (radish) is the source of this 444-nucleotide long non-coding RNA. RefSeq lists it as uncharacterized. The transcript is spliced from 3 exons. Lineage: Eukaryota; Viridiplantae; Streptophyta; Magnoliopsida; Brassicales; Brassicaceae. The record is from RefSeq and is a predicted model, not a curated record.